GAAGAGAGAGAGAGAAGAGCAGCCCCAGGGGAGAGAGAGACCAGCUGUGAAAAAUAAAUCUUUAAUCUGCCACCUACCCUUUCCCUUGUCUUCCUUCGGUCUCACUGGACUCAUAGAGAACUGGCCCCAGGGCAGGGAACCCCCUUCCUCCCGGAACCACAGCAUGAAGUAAGAAAAUGCGGAAGCACAAGACUUUCUGACAGAUGCCCCUGAUUUGGGGACAGCAGCACACAGAGCUGAGAGUUGGGCAGAAGUCAUGACACAGAGCAUGUGGGAAGGAGAGCUGAACUUUUCUUCGUGAGACAUGGAGGACACAGAACUGCAUGGUGCUCCUACCUAGAGAUGAGGUACUUGGAGAAGCAGAAGGAGUCUCCAGUGAUAGAGAUGUCCAGAUGUUUCUCUUGGAUCAUUUAGAAGUGAACAGCUAAAUGGUUGGAUGGAUGAGCUUUGAAUGGGACUCAGCGACUAAAAGUCCUCACACAGAGCAACUGAGGCAUAAGAGGUAACCUAGGAAAAACCGUAUGAAACUCAUCAUAUGUGCUUAUUUUGAGCUACCUUGGGAGAAGUCAUAUGACGGAGGACUGCUGUUGGUUUGAGUUUAUCCACAGGUUUCUGAUGUCGAACAUCUUUUUUUUAACUCCUUGCUGCUCACACUGACGGCCUGAAUAGCAUUGUCUUACCAAGACUAUAAUAAGUUACAUUUUGACCGAUGAGCUUAGGGUUUGAGGUAUAACAUGGGCAACAUCUCAUAAGCCUAUGGGCCAACCAACAUUCCCAGAUUUUCUGAUCUGCCUCCCUACAUUUGCAAAGCCUAACCAAGAAAUUAGCUCUGUAUGGGGUUGUCCUUUGCACAUUCACAAGAUUCACACCCACAGGAAGUGAAGAGCCCUCCCUGAGAGUCCAGCUGCUUAGUCCAGCAGGAGGACAUAUACUUUAGGGAGCAGAGUUUGGUUAAUUUCUAAAUUUGUUGAAUAUUAUUUAUUAAGCAUCUACUCUUUGCCAAACAUUGUCUAGGUACAAGGGAUGUAAAGGAUAAGUUAAAUGGAUAAGGAUCUGUUCUCAUAGAACUGAUAUGCUAUUGAGGGCAUGGGGGAAAAAAUAAACCCUAAUGAAAAAAUAAAGGAGAAAAAAAAAACCU
Manis javanica (Malayan pangolin) is the source of this 1138-nucleotide long non-coding RNA. RefSeq lists it as uncharacterized. The record is from RefSeq and is a predicted model, not a curated record. Lineage: Eukaryota; Metazoa; Chordata; Mammalia; Pholidota; Manidae.